UUGUGCUGUUGUCUGUGCCCAAUAAUGUUUGUACCAUGUUUUGUGCUCCUACCAUGUUGUGCUGCCGCCAUGUUGUGUUGCUACCAUGUUGUUGUCAUGUUGUGUUGCGACAAUGCUGUGUUGUCAUGUGUUGCUGCUUUGCUAUGUUGUUGUCUUAGGUCUCUCUUUAUGUAGUGUUGUCUUAUGUCUCUCUUUAUGUCGUGUUGUCUUAGGUCUCUCUUUAUGUAGUGUUGUCUUAUGUCUCUCUUUAUGUCGUGUUGUCUUAGGUCUCUCUUUAUGUAGUGUUGUCUUAGGUCUCUCUUUAUGUAGUGUUGUCUUAUGUCUCUCUUUAUGUCGUGUUGUCUUAG
Oncorhynchus tshawytscha (Chinook salmon) is the source of this 347-nucleotide long non-coding RNA. The record is from Ensembl. NCBI's taxonomy places the organism in Eukaryota, Metazoa, Chordata, Actinopteri, Salmoniformes, Salmonidae.